Molecule: non-coding RNA, 1167 nt
Organism: Pelobates cultripes (western spadefoot toad)
Lineage: Eukaryota; Metazoa; Chordata; Amphibia; Anura; Pelobatidae
Source: the annotation of a GenBank genome assembly
CUACACAAAGACAUGCUUGCGGCACAUAUCAUAACCUUACCUAAGCCAGGCAAACCCCUACCCACCCCCAAAAUUUUAGACCCAUAUCAUUGCUAAACACAGAUGCCAAAAUCUUUGCAAAACUACUGGCUAGACUAGGGGCCCUCGUGCCUUACAUAAUCCAUACUGAUCAGGUGGGCUUCGUGGCUGGGAGACAAGGACCGGAAAACACACGCAAAGUUCUGGACAUAAUGUAUAGCCUUAACCAGCUUAAGAUAGGGGGAGGACUCCUUGUAUCCCUGGACGUGGAGAAGGCGUUUAACCCCCUGCAUUGGAAAUUCUUGGGGGCGGUCAUGUGCAGAUUCCAAAUCCCGGGUGUGUUUCUCUCAGCAGUACAGGCACUAUAGGCCCAGGUACUGAACACCGGGUUUCUCUCAGAACCACUCCAAAUAACCAAUGGGACGAGGCAGGGAUGUCCGGUUUGACCACUGUUGUACGUAAUGGCAUUAGAGCCACUGACACACCGCAUACGGGGUAUCCAAAUGGGAGGCAAAGAAUAUGAAGCUAACCUUAUUGCCAACGACGUAUUGCUAACCCUAACACACCCCCAAAUAUCCUUCCCUAAUCUCCUAAACGAAAUUGCGGUUUAUGGAGAAAAUUCAUAUUAUAAAUUUAAUGUGCUAAAAACCCAGGCCAUGGGGAUGGGAAUGAAAGCGGACACACUAAAAGUCCUAAAGGAAACCUUCACCCUGGACUGGAGGGAUGACUACGUCACCUUCCUGGGAAUAAAAAUUACAAAAAAUUUUGAUAAUCUAUACCAGUCUAAUUAUGAAGCAUUAAAAACAGAGCUGACUAUCACAUUACGAAACUAUGAGGCAAAUACUUGACAUGGAGAGGCAGAAAUGCAGCAGUGAAAAAGUGGCUAAAACUCCAAUACCUCUUCAGGACCUUACAAAUUAAACUACCUAUGACCUUCCUAGACAAUGUGCAGAGGCAGAUAGUACAAUUUAUCUGUGCCAAAAAGAGAAUUAGAGUAGCGAACCAAAAUUUUACAAUGCCCGGUUGAUGAAGGAGGGCUGGGUUUACCCAACAUCCGACUAUACUACAGGGCAGCUAUAUUGUCAUCUAUUCUGACGACCCAUGAUGAGCAGUGACCACCACAAUGGGUGGAGAUAGAGUCUCACUGGG